GCUAGCAAAGGGAGAACAACAAGCUGGUACUAUCUCUUGGCCUCCCAUGAAGUCUCUCGUACAAAGAGGACUUAAUGCUAGAGCUCGUCCUACUAUGGCCCAAGUAAUAGAGUCAUUGAAAGCAAUAAAGAUCUGAUUUAUUAUUGUAAUUUAAUUUACCUUUUAUUUUAAUUACUCUGCUGCCUUUUGUUGCCUUUAGUAUAGUUUUACUUUUUCCAAAUUCUCUUCCAAACUUUUUUAUUUGUUCUGCCUUUCUCUUCACUACUACUCUUCUCUUGUACUGCUUCCUUUUAAAGUAUCAUGUAAUGUUUUUAGUGUACUAUUGAGUGUAGCAUACGUUUUAUUGCUUUACCUAUUAUAACUGUAACUUGUUUUCUACUCAGAUCUAUUUCAACUCUUCUCUUCCAUUCUUUAUUUGUAAUUUCUCUCAGUCUCUUCUAUUCCCUUUCUUAUCCAUCCUUCUCAUUUCUUGCUUUCACUCUUGAUUUUUGUAGCCGUCCUAAAUCUUUUUUUUUUCAAUAUACACUGCCUUGUAAAUGUACUUCUGCAGCAGCAGCUCAAUAAAAUAAAACCUUUAACCUCAACUCCACCCAUGUCAAGCCCCUACUACCCCCCUAUUAUUCCUACUAUUGUGCUUGCUAGCUACUUAUGCUCCACUAUCAGUUUUCAGCAGUCAUGAGUUCGAGGUUUUUACUAUUUUAAUUAGAUCUCCAUAGAUCUACUUCGUUGGGCACGGCUCAUUUGUUGCCUAAAAAUCUCUAGUCUCGACCAUCCCCCAGCCUACAGCCUUGACAAAACCGAGGACAAAACCCUGACCUGUAAAGACUCUGGUCCGCUCUGGUCGCUUGAAAGUUGAAACUCGUGUAAACUGACACAGGAUACUAGGAAGGAUAAAUUGUAGUUACUUAAAAAUGUCUUCCAAGAAAGAAAAUUCAAGCGAAAAAUAUGAGUUGCCACCUCUGGUCUGUUUUGGAUAUCAUAAGGACUAUCACUCUGAUCAAAUGUGUAUAGCAGAUAAUGGGACAGAGGCAAAGAAACUUAAUCCUGAGGAAUUUUAUGCAAAGGGUGUGGUGUAUUCUGAGAGACCAGUCAAAAGCCGUGUUGAAUUUGAGGUUGAAGUGAUAUCACAUGGGGCCCCUUGGUCUGGGAACUUGAAAUUAGGCAUAAUGUUACACAAAUCCAACA
Molecule: long non-coding RNA, 1185 nt
Organism: Amphimedon queenslandica
Lineage: Eukaryota; Metazoa; Porifera; Demospongiae; Haplosclerida; Niphatidae
Exons: 3
Source: RefSeq, a predicted model, not a curated record